UACGAAGGGGGCUAGCGUUGCUCGGAAUCACUGGGCGUAAAGGGUGCGUAGGCGGGUCUUUAAGUCGGGGGUGAAAUCCUGGAGCUCAACUCCAGAACUGCCUUCGAUACUGGAGAGCUUGAGUCCGGGAGAGGUGAGUGGAACUGCGAGUGUAGAGGUGAAAUUCGUAGAUAUUCGCAAGAACACCAGUGGCGAAGGCGGCUCACUGGCUCGAUACUGACGCUGAGGUGCGAAAGCGUGGGGAGCAAACAGG
RNAcentral lists this ribosomal RNA (253 nucleotides) under uncultured bacterium. RNAcentral's name for it is "partial 16S ribosomal RNA". It matches the Rfam family "Bacterial small subunit ribosomal RNA", at positions 524 to 776 of the family's 1533-position model. The record is from RNAcentral.